Molecule: ribosomal RNA, 390 nt
Filed under: uncultured bacterium
Lineage: Bacteria
Description: bacterial SSU rRNA
Rfam family: Bacterial small subunit ribosomal RNA
Source: RNAcentral
UCAGGCCUAACACAUGCAAGUCGUACGAGAGUUUUUAACUCUAGUGGCGGACGGGUGAGUAACACGUGAGAAUUUGCCUUUAGGAGGGGGACAACAAUUGGAAACGAAUGCUAAUACCCCAUAUGCUUUCGAGUGAAAUGGAUUUUAUCCGCCUAGAGAGAAGCUCGCGGCUGAUUAGCUUGUUGGUAAGGUAAGAGCUUACCAAGGCGACGAUCAGUAUCUGGUUUGAGAGGACGAUCAGACACACUGGAACUGAGACACGGUCCAGACUCCUACGGGAGGCAGCAGUGGGGAAUUUUCCGCAAAGGGCGAAAGCCUGACGGAGCAAUACCGCGUGAGGGAAAAAAGCCUAUGGGUUGUAAACCUCUUUUUCAGGGAGGAAAAAAUGAC